This 59-nucleotide microRNA precursor is filed under the name Strongylocentrotus purpuratus (purple sea urchin). RNAcentral describes it as "Spu-Novel-2-P1b_pre stem-loop". The record is from RNAcentral. Lineage: Eukaryota; Metazoa; Echinodermata; Echinoidea; Camarodonta; Strongylocentrotidae.
UAUAUGAUCAAUGACAUAUGAGUAUAUUUACAUUCCCCAUGUGUAUUUGAUCAUAUCUA